RNAcentral lists this long non-coding RNA (278 nucleotides) under Dasypus novemcinctus (nine-banded armadillo). RNAcentral's name for it is "lncRNA (ENSDNOG00000050518.1)". Lineage: Eukaryota; Metazoa; Chordata; Mammalia; Cingulata; Dasypodidae. The record is from RNAcentral.
AAGGGGCAAAGCAGAAGGAGCAAAGGGGUGGUCCUCACUUUCCAGGUUUGGCUGGGGCCAGCUCUGGCUGUCAGCACUAAAUGUCAGCACUUCAAGGUGAUAAAUCAGAUGCUGGCAAAUAGGGAAAAGGACCAGCUCCAGCGGUCCCUUGUACCGAAGCAGACUUUGUGUCAUGUUGUGAAUGCAACAUGUUCGACAGCAUUCCUGCCGAGGAAAUCUCUUCUCUGAUGGGUAAGCAAAUAUCAUCUUUCAUUAAAAAACAUCAGAAAAAUUUCAUC